Molecule: ribosomal RNA, 636 nt
Filed under: uncultured bacterium
Lineage: Bacteria
Description: bacterial SSU rRNA
Rfam family: Bacterial small subunit ribosomal RNA
Source: RNAcentral
UAAAGAAUUUCGGUCAUCGAUGGGGAUGCGUUCCAUUAGCUUGUUGGCGGGGUAACGGCCCACCAAGGCAUCGAUGGAUAGGGGUUCUGAGAGGAAGGUCCCCCACAUUGGAACUGAGACACGGUCCAAACUCCUACGGGAGGCAGCAGCGAGGAAUAUUGGUCAAUGGGCGCUAGCCUGAACCAGCCAAGUAGCGUGAAGGAUGACUGCCCUAUGGGUUGUAAACUUCUUUUAUAUGGGAAUAAAGUGCAGUAUGUAUACUGCUUUGCAUGUACCUUAUGAAUAAGGAUCGGCUAACUCCGUGCCAGCAGCCGCGGUAAUACGGAGGAUCCGAGCGUUAUCCGGAUUUAUUGGGUUUAAAGGGAGCGUAGGCGGGUUGUUAAGUCAGUUGUGAAAGUUUGCGGCUCAACCGUAAAAUUGCAGUUGAUACUGGCAUCCUUGAGUACAGUAGAGGUAGGCGGAAUUCGUGGUGUAGCGGUGAAAUGCUUAGAUAUCACGAAGAACUCCGAUUGCGAAGGCAGCCUGCUGGACUGUAACUGACGCUGAUGCUCGAAAGUGUGGGUAUCAAACAGGAUUAGAUACCCUGGUAGUCCACACAGUAAACGAUGAAUACUCGCUGUUUGCGAUAUACAGUAA